RNAcentral lists this ribosomal RNA (254 nucleotides) under uncultured bacterium. RNAcentral describes it as "partial 16S ribosomal RNA". It matches the Rfam family "Bacterial small subunit ribosomal RNA", at positions 793 to 1055 of the family's 1533-position model. The record is from RNAcentral.
GUCCACGCCGUAAACGAUGGAUACUAGCUGUUCGGAGCAAUCUGAGUGGCUAAGCGAAAGUGAUAAGUAUCCCACCUGGGGAGUACGUUCGCAAGAAUGAAACUCAAAGGAAUUGACGGGGCCCGCACAAGCGGUGGAGCAUGUGGUUUAAUUCGAUGAUACGCGAGGAACCUUACCAAGGCUUAAAUGUAGAUUGACAGGUUUGGAAACAGACUUUUCUUCGGACAAUUUACAAGGUGCUGCAUGGUUGUCGU